Amphiprion ocellaris (clown anemonefish) is the source of this 1695-nucleotide long non-coding RNA. The record is from Ensembl. NCBI's taxonomy places the organism in Eukaryota, Metazoa, Chordata, Actinopteri, Pomacentridae.
CCCCACACAUCCACCAACCACUGGAACACAUCUCCAAAGUUCUGCCGGGCCAGCUCAGCUUCCCCUCAGAAGAAGUGCCGCCACCUGCCAGAUGAAGGAGCCUUUUGAGAGGCAGCUGGUAUCGUGAUUGGACUGUACUUUGGUCUGUUCCAAUCCAGCUUCAGCUCCAGAGACGGCAGGCGGGACGAGUCAACGGAGGCCUGGUGGACGAAGGCAUGCAGCUGAGUACAAUCCAGAAAACAACAGAGGAGUGCAGCAGCCCAGAACCAGAACAAGCAGAGUAGCAUCACCAAAGAACUACAGACUCUUCACAACCUGCUCAAACUCUUGGUACAGGACCUCACCACACGGGUCAAGAAGGUUGCUUUGUAGAACUGUUCCAGAAAACCUCACUAAACCACAUGGAGGGGCCUCAAGAUAGUCCAAAUGAAACCAUACAAAAACCAAACUAGCACAAUCCAAACGCUAAAGUCUCCUGCAGCCUACCAGAGAACCUCUGAGAACAGAGAAUCAGGACAGGAACUCUUACCUUCUGGACAACCAAUGUGGGUUCACAAACAAGAAUACAGAAUGUGUCUGACCAAAAACCUCUGAAGACUCACUACAGCCAAGAUAAAGACACAACUCAGCUGCACCAAAUCCACUAAUCACUGCACACAUUAGCACCAUGUGCUAACUGUGGCUAAAGAACCUCAUUUACCAAGACAACUAUCCAGUACAAAGCCCUAAAACACACCAAGAAACACAUUAAAGACGAUUUUACUGCUGGAAGCUGCAAGCCAACGCCUAAAGAACACACUAAAGCAAUGGAGCCAAACCCGAUUCAGUGGUGAAGAGAAGCAGAGGAAAUGUUUGACUGGAGCUAAAUAAAGCAGGAAGACACUGAGCUGCUCAGGUGUUCCUGAUAACACCAAGCAGCCACCUGGACAGCCAAUAGGAACACAGCUUACUGGAAGUCCAGAGGGCUGGGUUAGUGAAGGAAAUUUAGUUUAAAGUUGAGGCAGAAAGUUGACAAAGAAAGUUGAAAAUCACCUUCUGAUACCUGAAAUCUCUGAGUUUUCACACAAAGAACACCUGAACAUGUCAAACUGGUUCCACAGUAGAACCAUCAUUGUAAAAACUUCAUAGUAUGGUGUGUUGUUCAAAAAACAUUACGACCCGGCUGUCUAGGGUCGCCGAGGAGCAACACAAAAACAGGACAAACGCUGGUUUCCAGGGGGUUAGGCGGCUAUUUAUUUGAAAGAAUACGUUUACAACAACACAACAUGUGAGCAGAAAAAUCACAAAGUCUGUCUUUAGUUCAGCUGAAAAUAUUAGUUUUUGUCUUUUUUAUUGACCAAACUUUUCAGGAAGUAGAUGAAGAAUAAUUAAAGCUCUCAUGUGGAAGUCCAACUUAUUUUGGAUCCUUGUGGAGAGUUUAGAGUUUGUAAAGCUGUUGAGUUUUUAGAGUCACAUGGAUUGUUUUGACAUUUAAUAACCGAGUCCUGAAAUAAAAUUACAGUUGUGGAUUUCUGUCAUUUAGUCUGGACUAAACAAAUAACAGCAGCAUAAAUCUCAAACAUCAUUAUGAGGAGUCUGGAUUGAGGUUUCUCACUUGAUAAUGAUCAAAACAUGAAACUUAAGUUGAUUUAAAGAAUAUUCCACCUUAAAUCUUUGAAUGCUGACCUAAAAGGUUGGUUUCAGGAAGUAUUCCAC